UACGAAGGGGGCUAGCGUUGUUCGGAAUUACUGGGCGUAAAGGGCGCGUAGGCUGUGCUGUAAGUCAGGCGUGAAAUCCCCGGGCUCAACCUGGGAAUUGCGCAUGAUACUGCGGCGCUUGAAGACGGGAGAGGAUGGCGGAAUUCCCAGUGUAGAGGUGAAAUUCGUAGAUAUGGGGAGGAACACCGGUGGCGAAGGCGGCCACCUGGACGGUAACUGACGCUGAGGCGCGAAAGCGUGGGUAGCAAACAGG
RNAcentral lists this ribosomal RNA (253 nucleotides) under uncultured bacterium. RNAcentral describes it as "partial 16S ribosomal RNA". It matches the Rfam family "Bacterial small subunit ribosomal RNA", at positions 524 to 776 of the family's 1533-position model. The record is from RNAcentral.